GACGAACGCUUGCGGCGUGCUUAACACAUGCAAGUCGAACGGAAAGGCCCUGCUUUUGUGGGGUGCUCGAGUGGCGAACGGGUGAGUAACACGUGAGUAACCUGCCCUUGACUUUGGGAUAACUUCAGGAAACUGGGGCUAAUACCGGAUAGGAGCUCCUGCUGCAUGGUGGGGGUUGGAAAGUUUCGGCGGUUGGGGAUGGACUCGCGGCUUAUCAGCUUGUUGGUGGGGUAGUGGCUUACCAAGGCUUUGACGGGUAGCCGGCCUGAGAGGGUGACCGGCCACAUUGGGACUGAGAUACGGCCCAGACUCCUACGGGAGGCAGCAGUGGGGAAUAUUGCACAAUGGGCGGAAGCCUGAUGCAGCAACGCCGCGUGCGGGAUGACGGCCUUCGGGUUGUAAACCGCUUCCGCCUGUGACGAAGCGUGAGUGACGGUAAUGGGUAAAGAAGCACCGGCUAACUACGUGCCAGCAGCCGCGGUGAUACGUAGGGUGCGAGCGUUGUCCGGAUUUAUUGGGCGUAAAGGGCUCGUAGGUGGUUGAUCGCGUCGGAAGUGUAAUCUUGGGGCUUAACCCUGAGCGUGCUUUCGAUACGGGUUGACUUGAGGAAGGUAGGGGAGAAUGGAAUUCCUGGUGGAGCGGUGGAAUGCGCAGAUAUCAGGAGGAACACCAGUGGCGAAGGCGGUUCUCUGGGCCUUUCCUGACGCUGAGGAGCGAAAGCGUGGGGAGCGAACAGGCUUAGAUACCCUGGUAGUCCACGCUGUAAACGGUGGGUACUAGGUGUGGGGUCCAUUCCACGGGUUCCGUGCCGUAGCUAACGCUUUAAGUACCCCGCCUGGGGAGUACGGCCGCAAGGCUAAAACUCAAAGGAAUUGACGGGGCCCCGCACAAGCGGCGGAGCAUGCGGAUUAAUUCGAUGCAACGCGUAGAACCUUACCUGGGUUUGACAUGGAUCGGGAGUGCUCAGAGAUGGGUGUGCCUCUUUUGGGGUCGGUUCACAGGUGGUGCAUGCCUGUCGUCAGCUCGUGUCGUGAGAUGUUGGGUUAAGUCCCGCAACGAGCGCAACCCUUGUUCACUGUUGCCAGCACGUUAUGGUGGGGACUCAGUGGAGACCGCCGGGGUCAACUCGGAGGAAGGUGGGGAUGACGUCAAGUCCUCAUGCCCCUUAUGUCCAGGGCUUCACGCAUGCUACAAUGGCUGGUACAGAGAGUGGCGAGCCUGUGAGGGUGAGCGAAUCUCGGAAAGCCGGUCUCAGUUCGGAUUGGGGUCUGCAACUCGACCUCAUGAAGUCGGAGUCGCUAGUAAUCGCAGAUCAGCAACGCUGCGGUGAAUACGUUCCCGGG
This 1343-nucleotide ribosomal RNA is filed under the name uncultured bacterium. RNAcentral describes it as "16S ribosomal RNA". It matches the Rfam family "Bacterial small subunit ribosomal RNA", at positions 28 to 1378 of the family's 1533-position model. The record is from RNAcentral.